This 323-nucleotide ribosomal RNA is filed under the name uncultured bacterium. Its description in RNAcentral is "bacterial SSU rRNA". It matches the Rfam family "Bacterial small subunit ribosomal RNA", at positions 29 to 334 of the family's 1533-position model. The record is from RNAcentral.
AACGAACACUGGCGGCGUGGAUUAGGCAUGCAAGUCGAGCGGGAUUAACUUGCUUCAAUUCUUCGGAAAAGAAGCUUGUUAUGAGAGCGGCGAACGGGUGAGUAAUAUAUGGGUAAUUUGCCUCAGAGCUUGGGAUAGCCAUCCGAAAGGGUGGGUAAUACCGCAUAAUGCCUACGGGCCAAAGAGGGGGAUCUUCGGACCUCUCGCGUCAAGAUAUGCCUAGGUGGGAUUAGCUAGUUGGUGAGGUAAUGGCUCACCAAGGCGACGAUCCCUAGCUGGUCUGAGAGGAUGAUCAGCCACACUGGAACUGAGACACGGUCCAG